RNAcentral lists this long non-coding RNA (210 nucleotides) under Carica papaya (papaya). Its description in RNAcentral is "long non-coding RNA (CPAP_LNC011612)". Lineage: Eukaryota; Viridiplantae; Streptophyta; Magnoliopsida; Brassicales; Caricaceae. The record is from RNAcentral.
AAAAGUUCACAACAUCUUAGGACUGAUAGGAUAUUAUUGAUGUUUCAUCAAGCAUUUUUCUGGUAUUGACGCUCACUUAACCCAUCUCACCAUAAAGAGUUUUUUUUCUCAAUUGGGACCCCUAAAUGUGGAAAAAGUUUUGUCGAGCUUAAUCGUCGACUCACCACUGUAAUGGUGUUGAUCCUCCCUGAUAACAUUAGACGAUUUCAG